RNAcentral lists this ribosomal RNA (493 nucleotides) under uncultured soil bacterium. RNAcentral describes it as "bacterial SSU rRNA". It matches the Rfam family "Bacterial small subunit ribosomal RNA", at positions 27 to 506 of the family's 1533-position model. The record is from RNAcentral.
GGGAUGAACGCUGGCGGCGUGCUUAACACAUGCAAGUCGAACGAUGAAGGCUGGAGCUUGCUCUGGCUGGAUUAGUGGCGAACGGGUGAGUAACACGUGAGUAACCUGCCCCAGACUCUGGGAUAAGCGCUGGAAACGGCGUCUAAUACCGGAUACGAGCUUCCACCGCAUGGUGAGGAGCUGGAAAGAUUUCGGUCUGGGAUGGACUCGCGGCCUAUCAGCUUGUUGGUGAGGUAAUGGCUCACCAAGGCGACGACGGGUAGCCGGCCUGAGAGGGUGACCGGCCACACUGGGACUGAGGCACGGCCCAGACUCCUACGGGAGGCAGCAGUGGGAAUUUUGGACAAUGGGGGAAACCUGAUCCAGCCAUCCCGCGUGUGCGAUGAAGGCCUUCGGUUGUAAAGCACUUUUGGCGAGGUAAGAAACGGUACGUACCCGUUAAGUACGGGCGUACGACUGACGGUACCUGCAGAAUAAGCACCGCUAACUACGU